Molecule: ribosomal RNA, 2549 nt
Filed under: Escherichia coli KTE66
Lineage: Bacteria; Pseudomonadati; Pseudomonadota; Gammaproteobacteria; Enterobacterales; Enterobacteriaceae
Description: bacterial LSU rRNA
Rfam family: Bacterial large subunit ribosomal RNA
Source: RNAcentral
CUGUGAGCUCGAUGAGUAGGGCGGGACACGUGGUAUCCUGUCUGAAUAUGGGGGGACCAUCCUCCAAGGCUAAAUACUCCUGACUGACCGAUAGUGAACCAGUACCGUGAGGGAAAGGCGAAAAGAACCCCGGCGAGGGGAGUGAAAAAGAACCUGAAACCGUGUACGUACAAGCAGUGGGAGCACGCUUCGGCGUGUGACUGCGUACCUUUUGUAUAAUGGGUCAGCGACUUAUAUUCUGUAGCAAGGUUAACCGAAUAGGGGAGCCGAAGGGAAACCGAGUCUUAACUGGGCGUUAAGUUGCAGGGUAUAGACCCGAAACCCGGUGAUCUAGCCAUGGGCAGGUUGAAGGUUGGGUAACACUAACUGGAGGACCGAACCGACUAAUGUUGAAAAAUUAGCGGAUGACUUGUGGCUGGGGGUGAAAGGCCAAUCAAACCGGGAGAUAGCUGGUUCUCCCCGAAAGCUAUUUAGGUAGCGCCUCGUGAAUUCAUCUCCGGGGGUAGAGCACUGUUUCGGCAAGGGGGUCAUCCCGACUUACCAACCCGAUGCAAACUGCGAAUACCGGAGAAUGUUAUCACGGGAGACACACGGCGGGUGCUAACGUCCGUCGUGAAGAGGGAAACAACCCAGACCGCCAGCUAAGGUCCCAAAGUCAUGGUUAAGUGGGAAACGAUGUGGGAAGGCCCAGACAGCCAGGAUGUUGGCUUAGAAGCAGCCAUCAUUUAAAGAAAGCGUAAUAGCUCACUGGUCGAGUCGGCCUGCGCGGAAGAUGUAACGGGGCUAAACCAUGCACCGAAGCUGCGGCAGCGACACUAUGUGUUGUUGGGUAGGGGAGCGUUCUGUAAGCCUGUGAAGGUGGCCUGUGAGGGUUGCUGGAGGUAUCAGAAGUGCGAAUGCUGACAUAAGUAACGAUAAAGCGGGUGAAAAGCCCGCUCGCCGGAAGACCAAGGGUUCCUGUCCAACGUUAAUCGGGGCAGGGUGAGUCGACCCCUAAGGCGAGGCCGAAAGGCGUAGUCGAUGGGAAACAGGUUAAUAUUCCUGUACUUGGUGUUACUGCGAAGGGGGGACGGAGAAGGCUAUGUUGGCCGGGCGACGGUUGUCCCGGUUUAAGCGUGUAGGCUGGUUUUCCAGGCAAAUCCGGAAAAUCAAGGCUGAGGCGUGAUGACGAGGCACUACGGUGCUGAAGCAACAAAUGCCCUGCUUCCAGGAAAAGCCUCUAAGCAUCAGGUAACAUCAAAUCGUACCCCAAACCGACACAGGUGGUCAGGUAGAGAAUACCAAGGCGCUUGAGAGAACUCGGGUGAAGGAACUAGGCAAAAUGGUGCCGUAACUUCGGGAGAAGGCACGCUGAUAUGUAGGUGAAGUCCCUCGCGGAUGGAGCUGAAAUCAGUCGAAGAUACCAGCUGGCUGCAACUGUUUAUUAAAAACACAGCACUGUGCAAACACGAAAGUGGACGUAUACGGUGUGACGCCUGCCCGGUGCCGGAAGGUUAAUUGAUGGGGUUAGCGGUAACGCGAAGCUCUUGAUCGAAGCCCCGGUAAACGGCGGCCGUAACUAUAACGGUCCUAAGGUAGCGAAAUUCCUUGUCGGGUAAGUUCCGACCUGCACGAAUGGCGUAAUGAUGGCCAGGCUGUCUCCACCCGAGACUCAGUGAAAUUGAACUCGCUGUGAAGAUGCAGUGUACCCGCGGCAAGACGGAAAGACCCCGUGAACCUUUACUAUAGCUUGACACUGAACAUUGAGCCUUGAUGUGUAGGAUAGGUGGGAGGCUUUGAAGUGUGGACGCCAGUCUGCAUGGAGCCGACCUUGAAAUACCACCCUUUAAUGUUUGAUGUUCUAACGUUGGCCCCUGAUCGGGGUUGCGGACAGUGUCUGGUGGGUAGUUUGACUGGGGCGGUCUCCUCCUAAAGAGUAACGGAGGAGCACGAAGGUUGGCUAAUCCUGGUCGGACAUCAGGAGGUUAGUGCAAUGGCAUAAGCCAGCUUGACUGCGAGCGUGACGGCGCGAGCAGGUGCGAAAGCAGGUCAUAGUGAUCCGGUGGUUCUGAAUGGAAGGGCCAUCGCUCAACGGAUAAAAGGUACUCCGGGGAUAACAGGCUGAUACCGCCCAAGAGUUCAUAUCGACGGCGGUGUUUGGCACCUCGAUGUCGGCUCAUCACAUCCUGGGGCUGAAGUAGGUCCCAAGGGUAUGGCUGUUCGCCAUUUAAAGUGGUACGCGAGCUGGGUUUAGAACGUCGUGAGACAGUUCGGUCCCUAUCUGCCGUGGGCGCUGGAGAACUGAGGGGGGCUGCUCCUAGUACGAGAGGACCGGAGUGGACGCAUCACUGGUGUUCGGGUUGUCAUGCCAAUGGCACUGCCCGGUAGCUAAAUGCGGAAGAGAUAAGUGCUGAAAGCAUCUAAGCACGAAACUUGCCCCGAGAUGAGUUCUCCCUGACUCCCUGAGAGUCCUGAAGGAACGUUGAAGACGACGACGUUGAUAGGCCGGGUGUGUAAGCGCAGCGAUGCGUUGAGCUAACCGGUACUAAUGAACCGUGAGGCUUAACCUU